This 253-nucleotide ribosomal RNA is filed under the name uncultured bacterium. RNAcentral's name for it is "partial 16S ribosomal RNA". It matches the Rfam family "Bacterial small subunit ribosomal RNA", at positions 524 to 776 of the family's 1533-position model. The record is from RNAcentral.
UACAGAGGUCUCAAGCGUUGUUCGGAUUCAUUGGGCGUAAAGGGUGCGUAGGCGGCGCGGUAAGUCGGGUGUGAAAUCUCGGGGCUUAACUCCGAAACUGCAUUCGAUACUGCCGUGCUUGAGGACUGGAGAGGAGACUGGAAUUUACGGUGUAGCGGUGAAAUGCGUAGAUAUCGUAAGGAAGACCAGUGGCGAAGGCGAAUCUCUGGACAGUUACUGACACUGAGGCACGAAGGCCAGGGGAGCAAACGGG